GUGGCGCGUUUUUACUCGCUAGUUGUCUGAGGAGAAUACUCUCAAUUUCAACAGAAAUCAGACCCAUUUAUGUCCUAGCUUAUCAAUAUGGCAUCAGAAAAUGAUGAAACUUAUGAACGUUCAGUCAAACAGUACAUCGAGAUAUGUGAGAGAUGUUUCCGAACUUGUCUCAAACCUCGUGGAACAAUGCGACUUAGCCCUGGAGAGGUAAAUUGCAUGGAAGCAUGCAUAAGGAGAGAAUUAAGACGCAACAAACAGAGGGCAGAAAUCACCUCUCAGCA
Schistocerca americana (American grasshopper) is the source of this 281-nucleotide long non-coding RNA. RefSeq lists it as uncharacterized. The transcript has 3 exons. NCBI's taxonomy places the organism in Eukaryota, Metazoa, Arthropoda, Insecta, Orthoptera, Acrididae. The record is from RefSeq and is a predicted model, not a curated record.